AUUGAACGCUGGCGGCACGCUUAACACAUGCAAGUCGAGCGAUGCUUUUGGAGUAGCUUGCUAUUUUAGAAGUAGAGCGGCGGACGGGUGAGUAAUGCGCAGGAAUCUACCUUGAAGUGGGGGAUAACACGGGGAAACUCGUGCUAAUACCGCAUAUUACCUGAGGGUAAAAGGUUGCGAAAGCAGCCGCUUUUAGAGGAGCCUGCGUUGGAUUAGCUUGUUGGUGGGGUAAAGGCCUACCAAGGCGAUGAUCCAUAGCUGGUCUGAGAGGACGAUCAGCCACACUGGGACUGAGACACGGCCCAGACUCCUACGGGAGGCAG
RNAcentral lists this ribosomal RNA (323 nucleotides) under uncultured Pseudomonadota bacterium. RNAcentral's name for it is "bacterial SSU rRNA". It matches the Rfam family "Bacterial small subunit ribosomal RNA", at positions 30 to 351 of the family's 1533-position model. The record is from RNAcentral. Lineage: Bacteria; Pseudomonadati; Pseudomonadota.